GGAGCAGAGGCUCUGCGUGGAGCAUCCAUGUGCAGUACUCUUAGGAGAGUUUGACCCAGAUACUCAUGGACCAGGCAAAGGUGCUGUUCCUCCCAGCCCAGGGCCCACCAUGAAGCAUGCCUGGGAGCCUGGUAAGGACCCAGCCACUCCUGGGCUGUUGACAUUGGCUUCUCUUGCCCAGCAUUGUAGCCACGCCACUGCAUUGUACUGUGAGAUAAGUCAAGGUGGGCUCACCAGGACCUGCACUAAAUUGUGAAAUUCAGCUCCAAAGAACUUUGGAAAUUACCCAUGCAUUUAAGCAAAAUGAAUGAUACCUGAGCAAACCCUUUCACAUUGGCACAAGUUACAAUCCUGUCUCAUCCUCUUGAUUACAAAUUCCAUCCAGGCAAGAGCUGUAUCACCCUGAGGUCUCCCCAUUCAUGUUUUGGUCAAUAAUAUUUAGUUUCCUUUUGAAAAUAGAUUUUUGUGUUACUCCAUUAUGAUGGGCAGAGGCCAGAUGCUUAUAUUCUAUUUAAAUGACU
RNAcentral lists this long non-coding RNA (521 nucleotides) under Homo sapiens (human). Its description in RNAcentral is "HSALNT0157219". Lineage: Eukaryota; Metazoa; Chordata; Mammalia; Primates; Hominidae. The record is from RNAcentral.